AGAAAUUUAACAAACAUACACACUCUCUCUCUCUCUCUCUCUUUAUGUCCAAAGUGGGUGUUUGGUCUGCCUUUGUUCCUUUAUGUCCAAAGUGGGUGUUUGGGUCUGCCUUUGUUCUCUCUUCGUAGGUGAUACUGUUUUAAAGGUUUAGAGAGAAAUUUAUAAUAAGCCAUGGGUUGGUUUCCAUGUGCUGGAAAAUCAAGCAAAAAUGCUAAGAAGAAGCAUCAUAACAAGCCUAUUGAUCAGAUCCC
RNAcentral lists this long non-coding RNA (251 nucleotides) under Citrus sinensis (sweet orange). Its description in RNAcentral is "long non-coding RNA (CSIN_LNC003237)". Lineage: Eukaryota; Viridiplantae; Streptophyta; Magnoliopsida; Sapindales; Rutaceae. The record is from RNAcentral.